Long non-coding RNA from Oncorhynchus mykiss (rainbow trout), 413 nucleotides. RefSeq lists it as uncharacterized. NCBI's taxonomy places the organism in Eukaryota, Metazoa, Chordata, Actinopteri, Salmoniformes, Salmonidae. The record is from RefSeq and is a predicted model, not a curated record.
AGGCGUAUCUGUCUAUCUGGCACGUCACCUUAAUGUAACCUACGUUAUAUACGAGAGUGGCCAGCGGACAUAUCACCAGUUACACUUCUUUCACAGUCAUCUUUUCAGUUGUCCUUACAACUCUGAAAACACGGAGACCAUUUCCUAGAGAGGACACAGUACUGUAUCUCCUGCUACACAGAGGUUGUUAAAGGAAGAGGAAAAGUCUUCAGAACUGAACGAACACAGAUCUUCUACAGACAGAGAGACGAGAUCAGAAAGCGGACACACAGCUCCAGAGUGGUAGUAAACAAACAGUCAAAGGAAAUCUAGUCGCCACAUCUAGAAAUGGCAGAGGUAAAACAACUGAACAAUUUGCCCCCCCUCAUCCCCUACCCUGAGGGGAUGACAGAUGAAAAGGAAAAGAAAAUAUA